GACGAACGCUGGCGGCGUGCUUAACACAUGCAAGUCGAACGGAAAGGCCCUGCUUUUGUGGGGUGCUCGAGUGGCGAACGGGUGGGUAACACGUGAGUAACCUGCCCUUGACUUUGGGAUAACUUCAGGAAACUGGGGCUAAUACCGGAUAGGAGCUCCUGCUGCAUGGUGGGGGUUGGAAAGUUUCGGCGGUUGGGGAUGGACUCGCGGCUUAUCAGCUUGUUGGUGGGGUAGUGGCUUACCAAGGCUUUGACGGGUAGCCGGCCUGAGAGGGUGACCGGCCACAUUGGGACUGAGAUACGGCCCAGACUCCUACGGGAGGCAGCAGUGGGGAAUAUUGCACAAUGGGCGGAAGCCUGAUGCAGCAACGCCGCGUGCGGGAUGAUGGCCUUCGGGUUGUAAACCGCUUUCGCCUGUGACGAAGCGUGAGUGACGGUAAUGGGUAAAGAAGCACCGGCUAACUACGUG
Molecule: ribosomal RNA, 468 nt
Filed under: uncultured bacterium
Lineage: Bacteria
Description: partial 16S ribosomal RNA
Rfam family: Bacterial small subunit ribosomal RNA
Source: RNAcentral